GGCAACCCGCUCCGGUGUCCUUCCAUGCUGUGGAGGCUCUGUUGUUUCGCUCUUUCUACUGCUUACUCUUCGGGUCCACACUGCUUUUAUGAGCUGUAACACUCACCCUGAAGGUUUGCAACUUGACUCCUGAAGCCAGCAAGACCACGAGCCCCAGGGAGGAACGAACAACUCCAGACGCGCUGCCUUAAGAGCUGUAACACUCACCGAGAAGGUCUGCAGCUUCACUCCUGAGCCAGCGAGGCCACGAACCCACCAGAAGGAAGAAACUCUGAACACAUCCGAACAUCAGAAGGAACAAACUCCAGACGUGCCACCUUAAGAGCUGUUAACACUCACCGCGAGGGUCCGCGGCUUCAUUUUUGAAGUCAGUGAGACCAAGAACCAACCAAUUCGGGACACAAUACCAACUCUUUCAUGCCAGGAGAAGCCUCCUUAAAAAAUUUCGGUGAUUAACAGCAGCACAUGGGUCAAAAUCUCCUGAAAGUUGAGCAGGGGAGCUGUAGAAGAAUUCCUCCUUUUCUCGCAGAUGAAAUCUUAUGAUAUAGCAGGGGUUACCUGGCCAAGAAGGAACACAGAGGAGAACAAAGAAAAUUCAAGGAACUAAAUUCCUUCUCCACCUCAACCACCAGCAUUGAUACUCCAUCACUUAUGUACUGCAUCAAGCCGUCCUCAGAGGUGAGGAAGGUGCUGUCAAGACUAGAAGCAUGUGUCCCUCUCUCCAUUGCAAGAUGGGACAUAGAGAGGAGAAAAGUGGCAGACAGAAGGCUAAUCUCAACUGGAAACCAGAAGGCUAGAAAUCUUACUGAUGUGAUGUCCAGGGAUACAGAGCAUAUGAAGGAUGCAGAGAGUGGGUCAAAUGGAAGGAAUGUAGCAAAACAUGUAAACUUGAUUCUCUUGAUGACUAUUACGAAGGUAUAUGAAGAGGCAGGUGCCUUGGGAAGCUAGUGAAGCCAAAAUCCCAGAGCUUCUCGCUUGCGUAGACUCCUGUGAGGGCUGGGAAUUUCUGUCAUGGAAUGUUCCAGAUGAGGAGGGGAAGCCCAGCUGCACUCAGGACACACUUCUAUGUAAGCAAUUCUAGUACAUUGUGCAGAAAUAUCUAGAAACAAGGCACCCAAAUCUCCCAGCUUCCAAUAAUUUAUCAGAAUUUUUCUUCUGAUGGUGAGUAUUUACUCUUGUCCCCAAUUUUGUAUUUGUAGUUUUUAAAUUCAUUUUUCUAAAAGGGGCCUGUGUUAUAUACAGUUUUUAUGUGGCAGUUGAUCUUGCCGUCUCACUAAAGUUGGAAAGUCCUUUGGGACUGAGAUUGUGUUUUAUACUUUCUCUGUUUCCCAUGCCUGGGAUACAACUGAGCUCAUGGAGGAAGCCAAGCUAAUGUUCUGGCCUUCAGUUCCCUGCAUGGAUCAAAACUGGUUUGGGAGGUUGUAAAGCUUUUUGGGAAAUUACUUGUCCCUUGUGGUACUUGAGGAUUUAGAGUGCCAUACCAAACAUACUGCUUUAAAACUAAAAGAAGGUUUUUUUCUUUCUUAAUUGUCAGUAUUUGCAUUAUAAUAUUUAUUUUGAAAGAUUAUGUACUUUUAUUUCAAUUAAGGAUUAAAAGUGUGGUUCUUCUGAUUC
Long non-coding RNA from Homo sapiens (human), 1614 nucleotides. Ensembl annotates it as long intergenic non-protein coding RNA 2432. The record is from Ensembl. NCBI's taxonomy places the organism in Eukaryota, Metazoa, Chordata, Mammalia, Primates, Hominidae.